This 254-nucleotide ribosomal RNA is filed under the name uncultured bacterium. RNAcentral describes it as "partial 16S ribosomal RNA". It matches the Rfam family "Bacterial small subunit ribosomal RNA", at positions 524 to 776 of the family's 1533-position model. The record is from RNAcentral.
UACGUAGGGAGCAAGCGUUGUUCGGAUUUACUGGGCGUAAAGGGCGCGUAGGCGGCGCGGUAAGUCACUUGUGAAAUCUCUGAGCUUAACUCAGAACGGCCAAGUGAUACUGCAGUGCUAGAGUGCAGAAGGGGCAAUCGGAAUUCUUGGUGUAGCGGUGAAAUGCGUAGAUAUCAAGAGGAACCACUGAGGGGAAGAGGGGUUGCUGGGCUGACACUGGAGCUGAGUGCGCGAAAGCCAGGGGAGCAAACGGG